UUUGGGGUGAUUCGGUAUGCAGCAGUAAUAGCCACCACCAUCUCCCUGAACAUCAUUCUUUAAACCUGUGUUGAUAACUAGUACACACAGCGCCUGCAGGGCCCCACCCUGUCUCCUGGCCAAAGAGACUCAAGAAAUCCGGGCAGAGAAUGGUGCUCCCUGCUGCCCAGCGGAGAUGACCACUUCACGGAGAGCAGAGAGAGGAAGGAGGAGGAGAGCGAAAAGAAAGGUCCUCUUUCAGGCUGAGGACGCUGUGGAGUGGCCUCCCCUGGCCUGCCAAGAGCUGACUCACCGGCCGGGACACAGCAUUACAGGUGCACUCAGCACAGACAAUGGAUGCUUUUUAUACACAGCCCCACGCCUGACCGAGACUGACCACUGGGGUCAGGUAGAGACGGUGCCCCAGGGAGUAUGGGCCUGGAGGCAUGAGUAGGAGAGGACCUGGCCUGGAAGCUGCCAUUCUCCAGCCUUCCAGAGCUGGGGUCUGAGCAUUCACAGCCAUGGAGACCCUGCAAUUUCAUGGCCAAGGGACUUCUGAGAGUCCAGCUCUAGGAUCUUUAUCUCUCACGCCUGGCACAUCUCAGGGACGCAGACCCACGUGCUGAAAGGACAGACACACAGACAGGGAGCAAGGGAGAGCAGGGCGUGGACAGAAGCUUCUGGAAAAGCUGCCGUUGAGGAAGGGCUCUGGGAGACAGAGGCUGCCGGGAGGAGAGCUGAGCAGCUCCAGCCUGGCGGUGGACCUCAGGGUGAGGUGAAGGUGGGAGACAGAGCCCCACACAGAGGCUGGACAGCUGCGUCCCCUGUUCUGGGUCCCCAGGGUCUGCGGUGGGCACAGGGCAGCCACUGAAGUGAGGAGCCCCUGUCCCCCCCUCACAGAACCCGAGGGCCAUGCCUGGGGCCUGGCGUCCGCUUGUCACCGGGAGAAAAGCCAGUUUGUCCUGCAGACCCUACAGCCAGAGCAGGCA
RNAcentral lists this long non-coding RNA (968 nucleotides) under Heterocephalus glaber (naked mole-rat). Its description in RNAcentral is "lncRNA (ENSHGLG00100045445.1)". Lineage: Eukaryota; Metazoa; Chordata; Mammalia; Rodentia; Bathyergidae. The record is from RNAcentral.